Molecule: long non-coding RNA, 1767 nt
Organism: Benincasa hispida (wax gourd)
Lineage: Eukaryota; Viridiplantae; Streptophyta; Magnoliopsida; Cucurbitales; Cucurbitaceae
Source: RefSeq, a predicted model, not a curated record
GGGCUAGGGGAAAUUACAAAAAAAAAUAACAAACCAACUUGCAAACAAUAACUAGUUAGUCUUGCCCAACAAACGCAUGCAAUACCUUCUCCUUAAUGAUGGUGGAAUGGCUAGAAAAUCGUCUUUUCGUUGAAUAUUAUUCACCAACAGAUCUAUGAAGAUCAACUAAUCGCCCUCCUCUUAACCCUCAAUUUGGUAAAUCUGUUCGAUGACCUCCUUGUAGGAUUGUAUCAGCAACAGCGGAAGCACAAAGAUCAUCUAAUCACUCAAAUUCACUAGUUUUGGCAAAACAUAAAGCAUGCUCUUGCAGAAAACAAGUGAGUUUCAAGACAUCUACCUCUUGUAGAAUUUCUUCAAAACUCCUUCUGUAACAUCCCGUAUAUUUUUUUUAGUAAUAAUGUAAUUUCAGUAAAUCUUUACUAAUUGAGAACAUUUUUGGAAUUUUUGGACAUUUAAGUGCAAUUGUUGGAAUUUAAAUCAUUUAAGUGAAAAUUAAUAUUAGAAAUUAAUUCCAAAGUUUAGUGUUGGAAAUCAAGGACAAGAAUUGUUGUUUUAAAAAUGGAAAAGAAGAGAAUGAAAAAAAAAUAUAUAAUAAUAACAAUAAAGGGGAAUAGGAAGGAAACAAAAUUAAAUAUAUUUUAUUUCUUUCCUUUUCUUUUUUUCUUUUUUUCUUUCCCCCUCCCUCUUCUUCCUCACGCAACCUAGCAGCCGCUCUCUCUCGCCGCCGACCUCGACCAGAGGUCCGAUCUUCUCGCCCUGAUCGUUCGCGCCGCCUAAAUCUGAUUCCAGCCGUCGUCGCGAGCCACCCGAUCACUGAAGUCAAUCGCACCUGGAUCGAACACUGAGAGCCUCCGUCCAGCCAAGCGCUCAUCCAGACGGUCGCCGCCUGAGCCCAAACCGGUCUCCACUGCCGCUCGCCGUGGAAGCUUCUGUCUAGCUGACUCCUUCGCCGCACGUCCGCGCGCUCUGCCGCCCUCUAUCGAGGGCUGCUGCUGUGGUUUCACCGAAUCUUGAAAAUAGAUUAAUUGGGCUUUGGAUUUAAGUUUUGGAGAAGUUUUGAAUUUAGAAGCGAACAACUUGAGUUUGAUUGUAACGAGAAUUUUGGUGUUAGUGCUUUGCGGUGAUCUUGGCCAAACCACUAUUGGGUAAUGGUAGAGAUGCACCGGCGAUGGACAAGCAAAAUUCGUGAUCGAGCCACUGAGACUAGUUUUUACAUUUCCUCUCAUGAGAUUUAGAGUUCUUUUCAUGUUUCUCUUAACUUUUAGUUUUGACGUUUAAAACUUACUUUUAAGAAUCAUUUUCAGACUUAAUUAUUAUCUUUUAUGAUUUAUGGGUACCCUACUAUUGUUUUAAUAUUUGAAUUUAAUGAAAGUCUUUAAAACUUACCUUAUUUAAUUAGCAUUUAUUUCGCCAUAACCGAGUGUCGAUUUGAGUUCCAUGCAUGCAUGUAUUUAGUAACGGUUUAACUUAAGUCCUAGGGGGUCAGGUCGUUACACCUUCUCCAGCUGUUAUCUUCUCUAAAUCUUGUUGCAGACCACCUCAAGAUCUUCUCCACUAUUCUCUUGGUGCUCUAAAUUGAGUUGUGGGACUCAAAACAAGCUUGAAUCAAGGGAUGAAGAAAAAAUGCUCACUGCAAUCAACAUGCAAAGGAGAGAGUUGCAUGAGUUGCAAGUCAUGUUUGAAGAAGACAAGACAAAGUGAAUGCCAUUUGAGUGAGCAACUAAAGAGAUGGAUAAUGGAAAAUCUUCUUUUUCCAUUUUGUGUGAU